Molecule: unclassified non-coding RNA, 621 nt
Filed under: Hevea brasiliensis (rubber tree)
Lineage: Eukaryota; Viridiplantae; Streptophyta; Magnoliopsida; Malpighiales; Euphorbiaceae
Source: RNAcentral
AGAACCAAAAUGACAUUUUGAAUCGUGAGAGAAGGAAAAGAAAGAGGAAGAAGAAAAUGAAAAGGUAAUUCUAUUUCUUAUUUGCUGCUGUAGCAUCCUUAAUUUCAAUAUUCUCCCUCAGCACACUUGCUUCUUAACUGCUCUAAGGUUAGACAGUACACAAUCUACAGCAUUUAGAACUAUUCUUUUUUUAUUUUUUUGGGUUAUAAAAAAAAAACCAGGUGGAUUCACUCAAAUGUCUUCAGUAUGUAAUGGUAAUCAAUUGCCAAUAGAUGCCUUGUGCCCUGAAAAGUCGGACAAUGUUCGUUCUCAAUCUACAAUAAAUUUUCAUAGAAGCAGUGCAUGCAUUUUGGCCUUCCUGAAGAAUUAGGCUCUGUGAAAUUUCCAAAUUAGUAGUGGCCAUUUUCCCUUUUUUCUCUUUUCCAAGCAUGUUGUUAAUAUGCAUUUUAUUUGAAAGAUGAGCUUCCUACUGUUGGAUUCAAUUUCCUGUUAAAUUGGACAUCAUAAUUCAUUAAUAAGCAUUGAAAAAAAAAAAAACAUGAGGUAGACAGCGAAGGCGAACAUGUGGAUAAGGAACACGAUGACUUAUUGAAUCUAGAGGAGGAUGAGAACCAAAAUGAC